UAGGGAAUCUUCCGCAAUGGGCGAAAGCCUGACGGAGCAACGCCGCGUGAGUGAUGAAGGUCUUCGGAUCGUAAAACUCUGUUAUUAGGGAAGAACAAAUGUGUAAGUAACUAUGCACGUCUUGACGGUACCUAAUCAGAAAGCCACGGCUAACUACGUGCCAGCAGCCGCGGUAAUACGUAGGUGGCAAGCGUUAUCCGGAAUUAUUGGGCGUAAAGCGCGCGUAGGCGGUUUUUUAAGUCUGAUGUGAAAGCCCCCGGCUCAACCGGGGAGGGUCAUUGGAAACUGGUUGACUUGAGUGCAGAAGAGGAGAGGGGAAUUCCAUGUGUAGCGGUGAAAAGCGUAGAUAUAUGGAGGAACACCAGUGGCGAAGGCGACUCUCUGGUCUGUAACUGACGCUGAGGCUCGAAAGCGUGGGUAGCAAACAGG
Molecule: ribosomal RNA, 429 nt
Filed under: Bacteroidota bacterium
Lineage: Bacteria; Pseudomonadati; Bacteroidota
Description: Bacteroidetes bacterium partial 16S ribosomal RNA
Rfam family: Bacterial small subunit ribosomal RNA
Source: RNAcentral